GAUGAACGCUGGCGGCGUGCCUAAUACAUGCAAGUCGAGCGAACGGACGAGAAGCUUGCUUUUCUGAUGUUAGCGGCGGACGGGUGAGUAACACGUGGAUAACCUACCUAUAAGACUGGGAUCACUUCGGGAAACCGGAGCUAAUACCGGAUAAUAUUUUGAACCGCAUGGUUCAAAAGUGAAAGACGGUCUUGCUGUCACUUAUAGAUGGAUCCUCGCUGCAUUAGCUAGUUGGUAAGGUAACGGCUUACCAAGGCAACGAUGCAUAGCCGACCUGAGAGGGUGAUCAGCCACACUGGAACUGAGACACGGUCCAGACUCCUACGGGAGGCAGCAGUAGGGAAUAUUCCGCAAUGGGCGAAAGCCUGACGGAGCAACGCCGCGUGAGUGAUGAAGGUCUUCGGAUCGUAAAUCUCUGUUAUUAGGGAAGAACAUAUGUGUAAGUAACUGUGCACAUCUUGACGGUACCUAAUCAGAAAGCCACGGCUAACUACGUG
RNAcentral lists this ribosomal RNA (497 nucleotides) under uncultured bacterium. Its description in RNAcentral is "partial 16S ribosomal RNA". It matches the Rfam family "Bacterial small subunit ribosomal RNA", at positions 28 to 507 of the family's 1533-position model. The record is from RNAcentral.